UGAGGAAUAUUGGUCAAUGGACGAGAGUCUGAACCAGCCAAGUAGCGUGCAGGAUGACGGCCCUAUGGGUUGUAAACUGCUUUUGUUUGGGAAUAAUCGACAUUACGUGUAAUGUUUUGCAUGUACCAUUCGAAUAAGGACCGGCUAAUUCCGUGCCAGCAGCCGCGGUAAUACGGAAGGUCCAGGCGUUAUCCGGAUUUAUUGGGUUUAAAGGGAGUGUAGGCGGUUGGUUAAGCGUGUUGUGAAAUGUAGAUGCUCAACAUCUGACUUGCAGCGCGAACUGGUUGACUUGAGUACACACAACGUAGGCGGAAUUCAUGGUGUAGCGGUGAAAUGCUUAGAUAUCAUGAAGAACUCCGAUUGCGAAGGCAGCUUACGGGAGUGUUACUGACGCUUAAGCUCGAAGGUGCGGGUAUCGAACAGG
This 424-nucleotide ribosomal RNA is filed under the name Verrucomicrobiota bacterium. RNAcentral describes it as "Verrucomicrobia bacterium partial 16S ribosomal RNA". It matches the Rfam family "Bacterial small subunit ribosomal RNA", at positions 355 to 776 of the family's 1533-position model. The record is from RNAcentral. Lineage: Bacteria; Pseudomonadati; Verrucomicrobiota.